GAUGAAGAACGUAGCGAAAUGCGAUAAGUAAUGUGAAUUGCAGAAUUCAGUGAAUCAUCGAAUCUUUGAACGCAUCUUGCGCUCCUUGGUAUUCCGAGGAGCAUGCCUGUUUGAGUGUCAUUACAACCCUCAAGCUCUGCUUGGUAUUGGGCCCCGCCAGUUCUGGCGGGCCCUAAAGUCAGUGGCGGUGCCUUCCGGCUCCGAGCGUAGUAAUUCUUCUCGCUCUGGAGACCCGGUUGUGUGCUUGCCAACAACCCCCAAUUUUUUAAGGUUGACCUCGGAUCAGGUAGGGAUACCCGCUGAACUUAAGCAUAUCAAUAAGCGGAGGA
Molecule: unclassified non-coding RNA, 329 nt
Filed under: soil metagenome
Description: partial contains 5.8S ribosomal RNA, internal transcribed spacer 2, and large subunit ribosomal RNA
Rfam family: 5.8S ribosomal RNA (bases 1-120)
Source: RNAcentral